This 630-nucleotide ribosomal RNA is filed under the name uncultured bacterium. RNAcentral describes it as "bacterial SSU rRNA". It matches the Rfam family "Bacterial small subunit ribosomal RNA", at positions 232 to 872 of the family's 1533-position model. The record is from RNAcentral.
CGCGGCCUAUCAGCUUGUUGGUGGGGUAAUGGCCUACCAAGGCGACGACGGGUAGCCGGCCUGAGAGGGUGACCGGCCACACUGGGACUGAGACACGGCCCAGACUCCUACGGGAGGCAGCAGUGGGGAAUAUUGCGCAAUGGGCGGAAGCCUGACGCAGCGACGCCGCGUGGGGGAUGACGGCCUUCGGGUUGUAAACCUCUUUCAGUAGGGACGAAGCGCAAGUGACGGUACCUACAGAAGAAGCACCGGCCAACUACGUGCCAGCAGCCGCGGUAAUACGUAGGGUGCAAGCGUUGUCCGGAAUUAUUGGGCGUAAAGAGCUCGUAGGCGGUCUGUCGCGUCGGCUGUGAAAUCCCGGAGCUCAACUCCAGGUCUGCAGUCGAUACGGGCAAACUGGAGUACUGCAGGGGAGACUGGAAUUCCUGGUGUAGCGGUGAAAUGCGCAGAUAUCAGGAGGAACACCGGUGGCGAAGGCGGGUCUCUGGGCAGUAACUGACGCUGAGGAGCGAAAGCGUGGGGAGCGAACAGGAUUAGAUACCCUGGUAGUCCACGCCGUAAACGUUGGGCGCUAGGCGUGGGGCUCAUUCCACGAGUUCCGUGCCGCAGCUAACGCAUUAAGCGCCCCGC